Molecule: ribosomal RNA, 527 nt
Filed under: Brettanomyces bruxellensis
Lineage: Eukaryota; Fungi; Ascomycota; Pichiomycetes; Pichiales; Pichiaceae
Description: eukaryotic LSU rRNA
Rfam family: Eukaryotic large subunit ribosomal RNA
Source: RNAcentral
CAACAGGGAUUGCCCCAGUAAUGGCGAAUGAAGCGGCAAGAGCCCAAAUUUGAAAUCGGGCAACCGAGUUGUAAUUUGGAGACGGGACACUAGAGAGGAGGAAGGCGAUUAAGUGCCUUGGAACAGGCUGCCGUAGAGGGUGAGAGCCCCGUGAAUCGCUGGAGACCGAUCAAUUAGUGCCCGCCGAAGAGUCGAGUUGUUUGGGAAUGCAGCUCUAAGUGGGUGGUAUAUUCCAUCUAAGGCUAAAUAUUAGCGAGAGACCGAUAGCAAACAAGUACAGUGAUGGAAAGAUGAAAAGAACUUUGGAAAGAGAGUGAAAUAGUACGUGAAAUUGUUGAAAGGGAAGGGUAUUUGAUCCGACAUGGUGUUUAGCAGCGGCCCGUUCCUCGUGGAUGGGUGCACCUGGUUUACACUGGGCCAGCAUCGGUUCUGGGAGCCAUAUACGGGGUUCGUGAAUGUGGCCCUUCGAUUCUGUCGGAGGGUGUUAUAGCGCGGACAUCUUGUGGCUAGCCGGGACCGGGGACUGC